Molecule: small nucleolar RNA, 65 nt
Organism: Sardina pilchardus (European sardine)
Lineage: Eukaryota; Metazoa; Chordata; Actinopteri; Clupeiformes; Clupeidae
Product: small nucleolar RNA SNORD42
Exons: 1
Source: RefSeq, a predicted model, not a curated record
GUGCAUAUGAUGUGAAUUUGAUAUCGACUGAAUAUGUGAUGUAUUCAAAGGAACCACUGAUGCCA